GCAUUUUACCAAAAAGGCUUAGCUGCCAUCCACUUGCUUGAAAAGACCAGUAAGUUUUUAAUAAUUUUAAAGCAGAAAGAAUCUGAAAUUAAAAUUAAAGUAAGCACAGAAUUCUCUCAAAGCAUAAUGCAAGAUCGCAUUGAAAAAGUACUAUCGAGUGAAAUACAUUGACAUGAGGCACAAAGCUAUUUAAAUAUUCAGAAAACCCAAAGAAUGUUCAGAUUUCAGAGGCUGAAAGUAGAAAGUCAGAGCUGUGUUCUUGACACGAGAAAUUCAAUGGGAAGACGUGCAAUGCGAAGCAGCAAAGGGGCGCCUAGCAAAUCAAUUUUAGUGUUAGACGGAAGGUAGAGUAUGUCUGCAUGAACGGAUACAGUGGCUAAGCACAGAGCAAUACUGUAUAAUGAAAAAGGGCGCGAGCGAGCAGGCGUCUGACAAGCAGCGAAACGUACCGCAGCCUGGCCGGGGAACACAGACCUGUCAAGACAACAGUUUGGAGAAUUAGAAAGUGAACUCCAGCGGAAGCAGAAAUGGAGUAAUGCACUAUUUACAUCCCUGAAGUUUUCCGUUGCGUCCCCAAAAGCGUGUCCUAUGCCGUCUUUUCCAGCUGUCGAAGAUGAAGCAGCUAAAAUUAGCGGUUAGAUGAUGAAAAAGAUGACGGAUAAAAGUCGAACGCCAUCUUUUCAAACGUGUGUGACUCGACGGAACAGGUAGCCUGGCAGCUUUGGGUUCUGUGUUGGUGACGGAUACCCCCACCCGCAGCCACUCGUGAUCUGUUGUAGCUGUUCAUGCGACUGAAAUAAUAGCACAGGCAUCGCAGACUUGCGGAAUUUUCUUCUGGAAGGUGUCCAAGAGACCGAUUUUUUUUUUUUUUUUUUUUUUACAUUUUGCAGUUGAAAAAACCGUUCCACAAGUGAAGGGACUGCUGUAACAUCUUUGAAAGACUGGAUUAUUCUGGGAGAGAAAUACCCAAUUGACUUCAAAACAAACAAAUAGCAGUUGGGUGGGAUCACAGAAGCAUAUGCACCAAAAAAUACAUAAAGCCAGAGUGCUUUCAGGGUAAAUGGCAUGCUAAUGGAAUUUCAUUAUGGAAAAACUUAUUUUUACAGAAUACUAAUUGGCUCAUUUUCAUCAAAUGUAAAAUAAGUACUAUUUUUAAGAUGGGUUUUCAGAACAUUCAAUGUGGAAUGUUUUUCGUUUUUUCUUUCUUUCUUUCAGCUCUUAGUGGACAGUUUGUACAGAAAGGAACGUUUCCUUUCUGCUUCUGUUCCUAGCUUGUAAAUAUCUGUGCCUUCCAAGAGGUUCUUAUUUUUAUUUAAUUCGGGAUAUCUUAAAUAGGUGAUCGGUUACUUCAAUCAGUAAAAUCCCAUAUGAACAAGAACAAAAUUAACCAAAUUAGAACAAUGAGAAACAAUUCUAUGUCAUAACAUUGUUUUUCCUUAAGAAAAAAAAAAAGCCUUGGUAAGGCAAUCUUGAACAGUAGUUCAAGUUAGCCUAGUGUUAACCUAGAGUGAAAAAUAUGCAGUAGAAUGCGCUUUUUGUUGUAAUAUUGAGGCUGAAAAUGUUCAUGAGACAAAUUAGAACUGAAAGUAAAACACAAUCAUUUUAUAUCAACACAAUAUAAUAUUGCAUCUUGGGUUUUUGUAGUAUAUUUACAUAAGCAAGGCGGUUGACACGUAUGUUUAUCAAGUCACUUCUUUCAGACAAAUCUUUGACACUCUCAGGCAGAGUAUACUGUGGGG
Long non-coding RNA from Ochotona curzoniae (black-lipped pika), 1739 nucleotides. RefSeq lists it as uncharacterized. Lineage: Eukaryota; Metazoa; Chordata; Mammalia; Lagomorpha; Ochotonidae. The transcript is spliced from 2 exons. The record is from RefSeq and is a predicted model, not a curated record.